UUUUAGUGUGUGUACUUGCGGGCUUAAUUGGAAAUCCAAUUUACCUUUCAUGGCUAUAAUGACUGAAGAGGCAGAACGCCAACUUAAAGUGACUGAACUUGGUGAAAGUGCAGAUGUAAAACUGACUGACAAGUCGGAAAAAAGUAGACAUUUUGUACCGCUGCAAAUGUACUUUGUCAUCUUGAUAGUAACAUGUUGGAAUAUAACCUAAUAACAUACCAAUAUCUAUAAAUACAAGGACAUUUUUUUAAAUGACUUUCAUCCAAUGGGAGACUAAGGUCUGCAAAAAAACAAAUACUGCUGCCGGAUUAAAGCAGGGUCACAGAAAGGCUCAAGACGCUUUUGGUUUGCGUGUUUACUGGGUCAGCUGAUGAGCCACAUGAACAGGAAUCAAAGUAAAAUGCAUGAGGACCCUACACAGGACACAGAAUGGUUUAAAAGAAUGCUAGCCAGAAA
This is a long non-coding RNA of Syngnathus acus (greater pipefish), 456 nucleotides long. RefSeq lists it as uncharacterized. The record is from RefSeq and is a predicted model, not a curated record. The transcript is spliced from 2 exons. NCBI's taxonomy places the organism in Eukaryota, Metazoa, Chordata, Actinopteri, Syngnathiformes, Syngnathidae.